AACGAACGCUGGCGGCAUGCCUAACACAUGCAAGUCGAACGAGACCUUCGGGUCUAGUGGCGCACGGGUGCGUAACGCGUGGGAACCUGCCCUUAGGUUCGGAAUAACUCCCCGAAAGGGGUGCUAAUACCGGAUAAUGUCUUCGGACCAAGGAUUUAUCGCCUUUGGAUGGGCCCGCGUUGGAUUAGCUAGUUGGUAGGGUAAAAGCCUACCAAGGCGACGAUCCAUAGCUGGUCUGAGAGGAUGAUCAGCCACACUGGGACUGAGACACGGCCCAGACUCCUACGGGAGGCAGCAGUGGGGAAUAGUGGAAAAUGGGCGAAAGCAUGAUCCAGCAAUGACGCGUGAGUGAUGAAGGCAUUAGGGUUGUAAAGCUCUUUUACCCGGGAUGAUAAUGACAGUACCGGGAGAAUAAGCUCCGGCUAACUCCGUG
Molecule: ribosomal RNA, 433 nt
Filed under: uncultured bacterium
Lineage: Bacteria
Description: partial 16S ribosomal RNA
Rfam family: Bacterial small subunit ribosomal RNA
Source: RNAcentral